GAUGAACGCUGGCGGCGUGCCUAAUACAUGCAAGUCGAGCGAACAGAUGAGGAGCUUGCUCCUCUGACGUUAGCGGCGGACGGGUGAGUAACACGUGGAUAACCUACCUAUAAGACUGGGAUAACUUCGGGAAACCGGAGCUAAUACCGGAUAAUAUAUUGAACCGCAUGGUUCAAUAGUGAAAGACGGUUUUGCCGUCACUUAUAGAUGGAUCCGCGCCGCAUUAGCUAGUUGGUAAGGUAACGGCUUACCAAGGCAACGAUUCGUAGCCACCCUGAGAGGGUGCACGGCCAAACUGGAACUGAGACACGGUCCAGACUCCUACGGGAGGCAGCAGUAGGGAAUCUUCCGCAAUGGGCGAAAGCCUGACGGAGCAACGCCGCGUGAGUGAUGAAGGUCUUCUGAUCGUAAAACUCUGUUAUUAGGGAAGAACAAAUGUGUAAGUAACUAUGCACGUCUUGACGGUACCUAAUCAGAAAGCCACGGCUAACUACGUG
Molecule: ribosomal RNA, 497 nt
Filed under: uncultured bacterium
Lineage: Bacteria
Description: partial 16S ribosomal RNA
Rfam family: Bacterial small subunit ribosomal RNA
Source: RNAcentral